Daucus carota subsp. sativus is the source of this 98-nucleotide non-coding RNA. NCBI's taxonomy places the organism in Eukaryota, Viridiplantae, Streptophyta, Magnoliopsida, Apiales, Apiaceae. The record is from Rfam.
GAAGAUUACAAUGAUGAUAUCAAGCUCCCUCUUCUUAAUUAAUGUUGAGGACACUCGCUGGCUGAAUCGAACCAUAAUAUACUGCCAACACUGAGUAA